Long non-coding RNA from Gossypium arboreum, 520 nucleotides. RefSeq lists it as uncharacterized. The transcript has 3 exons. Lineage: Eukaryota; Viridiplantae; Streptophyta; Magnoliopsida; Malvales; Malvaceae. The record is from RefSeq and is a predicted model, not a curated record.
CUUCUUACUGCCAUCCCAUCAAACCACUUUUGAUUGUUUAGUUUUUCCUUUAGUAAUAAUCAAUAUAUGAAGAGCUUGUAAAGGAGAUGUUAAUUGAAGGGACUAUUCAUCCAUCAUUCUAUUUCCUCUACAUUUCCAGAUGUGAUAUAUCAAAGGCAUCACUAAAAUUUUCCGAUGUCUUGUCUUUCAUAAUUUGGCUGUGUUAUCAAAUUAAAGGAACGUGGCAAAAUAACAUAGUGGCAGUGGCAGAGGCAUCGCGAUAUUUACCAAAUUUUCCCGACUGAUUUGAGCCGUACGACUUGUUGCUUGAAUCUUCCUAUCAAUGCUUCGAAGGUUUCUGCACAUCCCUUUCUCUAACAUCAGUCAGUCAAAUGAAAAGGCGUUGUGAUCAUGCAUUUGUUACCCUGUGAAACGACACGUUUAGCCUACAAUCAUUCAAGCACUUCCAUUACGAAAUUUCGUUGUACCCAUACAACACAAAAGGGCAAAACAAAGAUUCUUUAAUUAAAAUAACCAACAA